This 491-nucleotide ribosomal RNA is filed under the name uncultured bacterium. Its description in RNAcentral is "partial 16S ribosomal RNA". It matches the Rfam family "Bacterial small subunit ribosomal RNA", at positions 30 to 507 of the family's 1533-position model. The record is from RNAcentral.
UUGAACGCUGGCGGCAUGCUUUACACAUGCAAGUCGAACGGUAACAGGCCUUCGGGUGCUGACGAGUGGCGAACGGGUGAGUAAUGCAUCGGAACGUGCCCAGAGGUGGGGGAUAACGCAGCGAAAGCUGUGCUAAUACCGCAUGUGAUCUGAGGAUGAAAGCGGGGGACCAAGCAGCAAUGUUUGGCCUCGCGCCUCUGGAGCGGCCGAUGUCAGAUUAGGUAGUUGGUGGGGUAAAGGCCUACCAAGCCGACGAUCUGUAGCUGGUCUGAGAGGACGACCAGCCACACUGGGACUGAGACACGGCCCAGACUCCUACGGGAGGCAGCAGUGGGGAAUUUUGGACAAUGGGCGCAAGCCUGAUCCAGCAAUGCCGCGUGCGGGAAGAAGGCCUUCGGGUUGUAAACCGCUUUUGUACGGAACGAAAAGGCUCUGGCUAAUACCUGGGGCUGAUGACGGUACCAUAAGAAUAAGCACCGGCUAACUACGUG